CAGACAACAUGAUAUCCAGUAGAUGAAUGGAUACCUAUGGUCAGGUAUGCCCCUAUUUGAAAAUAGCAGGCAUAUUCUUUCUGGCUCAUUUUACGAUCAUACCUGAUGAACCUUUUAGUAGAGGUUCAGUUUGUAUUCGUGCCCUUCAAUUGGUUCAAACUGAUGGUGACACCAUUCGAUGGGGAGAAGUGCUCCCCAGGGUUUUCUGGGCUGUAAUCUUCAUGGGAAAGUAGAGGGGCACCGAAAGGGGAAGCCCACCACAAGAUAGGUGGACACAGUGGAAGCAACAGUGAGCUUGGACAUGAGGACAAUGGUGAGGGUGGUGCAGGGCCACGCAGUGUUGCGUUCUAUUGUCUGUCAGGUCUCUGUGGGUCUGAGCUGACUCUCAUCUAACAGCAGUUUUCACAGGAGCGGGUCAUGGGUUCUCAGUGACAACUUGGGAGUGGAUGUGCGUGCCAUAUGGUGAUUCGGUGUGUAACUUGUGGAACAACUGUCACAAUGAUUUGCACAGUGGUAAUGCCAUAUGGGGUCACUGCGUCGGCAUCGACUCCAUGGCGGUGUUUUGUCACUCACAAACAAAAACAUUCUUACCUGACCAAUGAGAUUGUAAUUCUGUAUUGAGAGUAUCUGGAUAUUGGUUGGAAUUUUGUGCAUUGGAGAAUUACCAUGGUAAAUUACUUCCAUCGGUGAUGAGAGCGACACACAAAGCCAGGCCCCAGAUGUGAGGCCCAGAGAGCUGAUCCACUCUUGGCAGCUGGGAAACAAGGGUGACCCUCUUGGGCUUCCAUGACAUCAUAUAUGGUGACUUUAAGUGCUCUGGCUUGCUCUGGACCACACAUUCACCUGCUUCCACACUGCCUCCAGAUUCCAACUCCACGCCCACCUGUCUCCUUGAAGGGCCUCUUGGGCUUACAGCGCACAUUCUCUUACAAUACCAGAGGCUGGGCAGG
This is a long non-coding RNA of Echinops telfairi (small Madagascar hedgehog), 950 nucleotides long. RefSeq lists it as uncharacterized. The record is from RefSeq and is a predicted model, not a curated record. NCBI's taxonomy places the organism in Eukaryota, Metazoa, Chordata, Mammalia, Afrosoricida, Tenrecidae. The transcript is spliced from 3 exons.